AUGCCAGAAAAGUGUUCUUCCCUUCUUAUUGUUUCCUUUCAUCAGAGAUUUACAUUUGGAAAAAUAAUGGACUAUAGCCAUCCUACUCCCAUCCCUACUGACUGGGGGGUCACCAGGAGGCAUGAAGGGGUGAAGAAAGGACCCUAUUUUGGAUAUUCUCCUUCCACCACCACUCCCUUACCACUCCUAGCCCUUGAGCAUGCACUUCCAAGAACAACAAAGAGGCAAGGGAAGACAGAACAAUGCAAAGGUACACGGGCAGUGGGACAAGUCAGACCUUAGGCUGCAGUGCUGUGUCCCUUUCUUAGGAAUUUGUCCUCUAGCUAGCAGUAACUCUCAAACCGGAAAAUCUGAUGACUGACUGCAUCAUUAUUAUCUAAGUGAAAGGCUCAUUUUUGUAGUGUUUAAUAUUUCUGGUACUUUAUGUAUUGAUUUGCAGUUACUCAUGCUUCCUAAAUAAACAGUUAUAAAACAAAUUGAACACAGUCAGGAGAAAAAGCAGAUAUUCUUGAGAAACCUGAACCACAGCUUUUUUGAAGCCCAGAAUGCUGAUAUUGCUAUAUUUAGUGUCUUAUUUGGUGGGAAAGAACAAACCACUAAACGAUUUCUUCCAGCUUCGAUUGAAUGCUACAUCAAAACAAAAGUAAUUUUACAGAUGACAUUAAAGUAGCCAGAAAGUGAUAUCGUUAUUAUUUACUACCCUUUUGGAGAAUCAGCUGCUUGCUUUUAUGGCUAUAAAGUAUUUUCAAAAAGUAUUUUCUAACCUGGAAGUGCAUUAUGAUAAACACUAGUUGUACUAACUAGUAAUUAUCAUGGAAAAUGACAAGAAUUUUCACACUUUAAAAAAAGUUAUCUCUUUUUUUCUUGAUAUUUGGCAAGGGGUGGGGGGGGAGCAGCCUCAAGACAUGCAAUUUAUUUGUAAUUUGACAGUUUCAUAGUGUAGGACUACUAUACAGUUAGACUGUCUAAUCAGAAAUGUGUAAAAGGUGAAAAAAAAAAGGUAUGUAAAGGUGGGAACAAGACCUGUGAAGUGCUAC
Molecule: long non-coding RNA, 1037 nt
Filed under: Taeniopygia guttata (zebra finch)
Lineage: Eukaryota; Metazoa; Chordata; Aves; Passeriformes; Estrildidae
Description: lncRNA (ENSTGUG00000027895.1)
Source: RNAcentral